Molecule: ribosomal RNA, 927 nt
Filed under: uncultured archaeon
Lineage: Archaea
Description: bacterial SSU rRNA
Rfam family: Archaeal small subunit ribosomal RNA
Source: RNAcentral
UUCCGGUUGAUCCUGCCGGACCCGACUGCUAUUUGGGUGAGGAUAAGCCAUGCGAGUUGAAUGGGAUACCUAAAUUUCCCAUGGCAGACUGCUCAGUAACACAUGAUCAACUUACCCUAUGGAGAAAAAUAACCUCGGGAAACUGAGGAUAAUGUUUCAUAGUUGAAAAGGCUUGGAAAAGUUUUUCAAUGAAAAGGAUAAGAUAAAUGGUUCUUAUUUGCCAUAGGAUAGGAUCGUGGUCGAUUAUGGUUGUUGGCGAGGUAACGGCUCACCAAGCCGAUAAUCGAUUGGGGCCGUGAGAGCGGGAGCCCCGAGAUGGGUACUGAGACAACGACCCAGGCCUUACGAGGCGCAGCAGGCGCGAAACCUCCGCAAUACACGAAAGUGUGACGGGGUUACCCAAAGUGUUCAUUUCUGAACUGUGGUAGGUGAGUAAUGUCCCCUACUAGAAAGGAGAGGGCAAGGCUGGUGCCAGCCGCCGCGGUAAAACCAGCUCUUCAAGUGGUCGGGAUAAUUAUUGGGCUUAAAGUGUCCGUAGCCGGUUUAGUAAGUUCCUGGUAAAAUCGGGUAGCUUAACUAUCCGCGUGCUAGGAAUACUGCUAUACUAGAGGGCGGGAGAGGUCUGAGGUACUACAGGGGUAGGGGUGAAAUCUUAUAAUCCUUGUAGGACCACCAGUGGCGAAGGCGUCAGACUGGAACGCGCCUGACGGUGAGGGACGAAAGCCAGGGAGCGAACCGGAUUAGAUACCCGGGUAGUCCUGCCGUAAACGAUGCAUACUAGGUGAUGGCACGGCCAUGACCGUGUCGUGCCGUAGGGAAACCGUUAGUGUGCCGCCUGGGAAGUACGGUCGCAAGGCUAAAACUUAAAGGAAUUGGCGGAGGAUCACCACAAGGGUGAAGCCUGCAGUUCAAUUGGAAUCACCGCCG